GGAGAGGUGGGUGAGUGGCUGAAACCAGCUCCCUGCUAAGGAGCCAUACGGGAAACUGUAUCGCGGGUUCGAAUCCCGCCCUCUCCG
This 87-nucleotide transfer RNA is filed under the name Alcanivorax sp. DG881. Its description in RNAcentral is "tRNA-Ser". It matches the Rfam family "tRNA". Rfam says of the family: Transfer RNA (tRNA) molecules are approximately 80 nucleotides in length. Their secondary structure includes four short double-helical elements and three loops (D, anti-codon, and T loops). The record is from RNAcentral. RNAcentral also lists the same sequence under 1 other name. Lineage: Bacteria; Pseudomonadati; Pseudomonadota; Gammaproteobacteria; Oceanospirillales; Alcanivoracaceae.